AGUGAACGCUGGCGGUAGGCCUAACACAUGCAAGUCGAACGGCAGCACAGUAAGAGCUUGCUCUUACGGGUGGCGAGUGGCGGACGGGUGAGGAAUACAUCGGAAUCUACUUUUUCGUGGGGGAUAACGUAGGGAAACUUACGCUAAUACCGCAUACGACCUACGGGUGAAAGCAGGGGAUCUUCGGACCUUGCGCGACUGAGUGAGCCGAUGUCGGAUUAGCUAGUUGGCGGGGUAAAGGCCCACCAAGGCGACGAUCCGUAGCUGGUCUGAGAGGAUGAUCAGCCACACUGGAACUGAGACACGGUCCAGACUCCUACGGGAGGCAGCAGUGGGGAAUAUUGGACAAUGGGCGCAAGCCUGAUCCAGCCAUACCGCGUCGGUGAAGAAGGCCUUCGGGUUGUAAAGCCCUUUUGUUGGGAAAGAAAAGCAGCAGGUUAAUACCCCGCUGUUCUGACGGUACCCAAAGAAUAAGCACCGGCUAACUUCGUG
Molecule: ribosomal RNA, 492 nt
Filed under: uncultured bacterium
Lineage: Bacteria
Description: partial 16S ribosomal RNA
Rfam family: Bacterial small subunit ribosomal RNA
Source: RNAcentral